AAAAAAAAAAGUUAAGAGAGUAAGAUUCCCUAUUUUGUUGACCCGCCCUACUGUGCAUGAAUACAUUGAGCUUGGCUGGAUUGAUCAAAAAAUAAAAGUUUUUCUGCUUUUGAUAAAAAAAAAUUAUAAAAAGAACAAGUUUUCAUUUUUGUCGGGCCACCCUAGUAUGCAUGCAUGUAUUUAGCUUGGCUGGUUUGAUAGAAUAAAAUAAAAAUAAUAAGUUUUCCUGUUUUUGAUAAAAAAAAUUAA
Bactrocera neohumeralis is the source of this 249-nucleotide long non-coding RNA. RefSeq lists it as uncharacterized. The record is from RefSeq and is a predicted model, not a curated record. NCBI's taxonomy places the organism in Eukaryota, Metazoa, Arthropoda, Insecta, Diptera, Tephritidae. The transcript is spliced from 2 exons.